CUAAGGAGGCAGAUUUACUUACCUCUUUAGCUCCUCCUUAUCUUCUGGCUACUAGAGUAAUAGAGAGCAGGACUGAGCAGCUCUGACCAAGGCAUGAACACCAUUAUGAUGAGGUGCUAGUGUCCCAUUUCAAACCAUCAGCAUUACCUUUGGCAUACAUCUCCAUGAGUUUGUAGGUGAGGGCAGACAGGAAGAUACUACAUCAGCAAUCUCAGAAUAUUAGGUGUAGUCAUUUUGUAAAUACAUUGUGGGAACUGUUCAGAAAUCUGAAUGUUUGUAUACUGAGUUAAAAGACUUUCAAGCACGAUUGCAUUGUUCUUCAUAGUAGCCUCUAGGAAGAAGCAAGCAGGGGAGAUAAUAGGUAAGCAAUCCCUUUGCAAAUAUUGGGGAGGCAGUUGCAACACAAUGCCAUACAUCCACGCCCCAGGCUGCAUUUAAACAGCUAUUCCUGAAUAAAGAGGUCUAAAGUGCAUUGAAUAGUUAAAAAGCUCUUUCCAGGAAAGGAUGAGAUCAGUUGUCAGUAAGUGUCCCAGACACAGAGAAUGGCCAACUUCUUUAACAUUUGCCCUCAGAGACUCUGAGCAAGUGCAUCCUCCUAUCUCUCACUGAGGAUUUAUGUCCCUUCCCCCCUGCCCUACACUGCUCUCCAAGGGGCCAGUCAACAUCUCAGCUCUCUGCUAUGCAGGACAACUUGUCUUUUACCAACUUGGAAACUCUGCUGCCUGGAAAGGAGGAGACUGUGCCAUGGAGAAAGUAUGUGUGAUUUCUUGAUAACAUUUCCUCUUCAUAACUGCCUGAUGCCAAAGGGCCCCAGAAACCUGUGGUAGAAACCAUCCUUUUGGUGUGCAAGGUUGCCGCAGCGGGAUUUACUAACCAGGACUUGAAACUCUCCUGGGCUUUGCUCUCGGUUCCACAUUUUUGCCACAGUUGUUGCAUCAGGGCCCAGUAUCACUUCACAAGAUGGGGUCCUGUCUGAAUUUGGAGGGACCAGAGAGAUAGCAUGGUAUUUGUCUUUGCUCUGUAUGUCCUGCUCGAGCAGUUAAUGUUGUGUUAGGUGAUAGAAACUUUAGUUAACUUGAAAGCCAAAGUGUGGACAAAUGGAGUGGGCUGACUCUGACUCAGCAGCUGGUUUUCAUGGGUAGGUAAAACAAAUUUAUUGUGUGAAGGGUAUUCUUUUGCAUAAUCUACUAUAAAAGUUCCAUAUGUUUUUUCUUUGCAGUGUUUCUUUGCAGAUGUUUUUUAUUCUUGCAUUUCUUUCUAUUUUUAUACAAGCAAAAAGUUUUUUUUCCUGUAUUUCUGUGAGUAUUUUAAGGAGAUGUUGUUCAUGUUCAUCAAGUGCUACUUUACUCUUCGUGGGGCUGUUGUCAUUUAUCCCAGGGCAUCCCUGGGUAGUGUUUAUGAGUCACUGUGCUAGUAGAGCUGUCCCUGUACCUUACAGCUGUCUAUCCCUCUGGAAUGAUAAGUCUAAAAGGAAUAUCCUCACAUGUGGACCUUUGUAUCCUUAAACAUGAUAGAUUUAAAGAUCUUGGGAUUAAAGGCAUAUAUUUUUGGCAGGUCUCACUAAUUAUGAGUUAAUUCACCCAUGAGCAGCAUAAGUGUCCUACCAGUAUUUUUUGUUGCUCCUUUUCCAAAGGAGAAACAUAUAUCUCAAAAAUCAUGACAGCGCACCUUACUGCACUAAGCACAGACAAUAAUAUUUUAGCUCAGGAAAUAAUCCAGCACACAUGCUGUCAGUGACUAUAGUGGUUCCAGUCUUAUCCAGUUGGAGCUCCCCCAUAAGACAACCGUUAAUUGUCACACAGUAAUAAAAAGUGUGUCUUCUGAUACUGGAGACACUAUGAAAUAUUUGUGUCAGAUGAGAAUAAGAAAUCUCUCAAUUUCUGCUUCAAAGCAGUUCUUGAUUCUCUAUGACUUGGUCUUGUGCUCCAUGUGCCUUUAGAUGGCUUUACUUUGAAUAGCAGAUCUAUGGUUGAUGCUGGUUUUGGCAGAGUCUUGCAGUCAUUGGUAAAGUAGAAUGAACGCUGAGCUCUAGGAUCUGGGUGGUGGUGGAGUGACAUUCUCAGGAUGUAAAAACGAACUUGGUAAUGAUGCUAUUUGGGUGAGACCAAUGUUCAGCUGCCCAGGUGUUCUGUCUCCAAAAACAGAAACAGAUGUUAUUUAGGGAGACCAUACUAGCCUGGCCACUUUCUGCAGUUCAUUCCCCUUGACUUCCCUCCCACACCUGGAGCAGUUGCAUUAGGGACAUUAGUGUAGCCCUUUUAGCAUCUGCUUAUGGACUCUUGGUCCAUCAAAUUAUCUCAUUUUUUUAUGAUCCUACAGCUGCAGUUUCCCUCCUCAGCCUUCUGCAUCAGCAGGUUCCACAAGUUCACUAGAUGCUUUGUGAGGAAGUACUCUUUUAAAUUGAUUUCUUACUGAUUUCAUCAAGUGACCCUAGACUUGCAAAAGUUCUGGAAGAGUUCUGCUACCAGCUUUUCUACCACCUUUAUGAUUCUAGAAACCUUACUUUUAUUUCCUCUCUCAGCUACCUCCUCUUCAAAUUGGACUUCCCAAUCUUUUUUAGUCACUUGUUACUUCUUUGAGCAACUGUUCUAUUAAAACAACUCUGUUUUAGUUGUCCUUGUCUGUACAUACAGCGACUCCACUGCACCUACCUUGAGGUGCUGAGACCAGCACUGUGAAGCAUAGUCAGGAUUUGAGAGGGAUACCACAGACAGUUUCUCUAAGCAGAAUCUUUAGUCACUUGCCCCGUGAACCCACUGUAACUCUGAUCCUGAGGUGUUGUCCAUUUGUAAGCCAUGCUGCUUCCCUCUUGGUGGUGGCGUUGGAUGGAUGUUAUGCUGUGGUGAAGAAGGGGGAUUGUGUGUGCUAUAUCUUUCUGCUUUCUAAUCCAAAAUGACAGAUUCUACCAGGACACAGUGUUAACUCAUACAAAGAAAAGUAUCAGGAUACAUACAGACCAGAAAUGGAACAUACAUGGACAGACCAUCUGAAAAAUCUGCACUAACUCAGUUGGCUGGAUCCAUAUGGAGCUGAUGAACCUCUGAAUGAAUAGUGAAUGGAAAAACUGCUGGAAUCUGCCUUCAGCUUUGUUCCCAGGAUGACCAAUGUAAAAGGCCUAAGAGCAAUACUGCACAGAUGGUGUAAAGAGGAAAUCCAGAAAGCAAGCUUGGGGCAGAAAGAACUUUGAAAAUCAAGCUUUUCUUCACGAAAAAUCUAUUAUGGAGCACAAGUUUCUAUUCCAUUUGGUGUUAAUACCACUUAAACUUCUGAUUUCAUAAAAGCUGCAUUUCAGAGGGGUCCCAAGUGCCUGCAGCCCUGUCCCAAAGGGUCUCCACCACCUCUGCUGCUGAACACAAGACCUCGCUGCUCCUGUGAGUGUGGCCAGAUUAACUGAAAAUACCAGUUUUCAAGAAGGAGGGACUGUUCAUCCAAAAUAACAAGCAACAACAACAAAAAAUCCUACUUUAGUGGGACCUGCAGAGGCUUUUGUAAGGGACUAAUGACUUUGACCUCACUGUCCUGUAGAGGUAAGAAUGAAGACUAUCCUUGGGAAAAAUUUUGAUGAGGAGCGCUGAGCUGAGUCAACAAAAUACCCUACAAACCCCUUGUCUUAAGAGCACUGACAAAGUAAAGCCAUUUGAGCAGAAAUAUACUUAAGGUGUUUCUUAUGUAAGACUUGUAUCUACCUGUAAAGUUUCAGUGUGGUUUGUUUUUGGGUUUUUUUUUCAGGAGUAUUAUGCUUAAAAUGGUUUCAAGACUUUGCAAAAGUUCAAAUGUAUAGAUUUCAACCUGUCUGGAAAUCUACAGUCUAGUUUCUGUUGCUAAAUUAUGAGCUAAGAUGCUGUAUGGCAGUCUGAAAUAUAUCCAUGAAAGGGUUUUCAGAUAAGCUGUUUUUUAAACCAGUGUAAAUUCUUUGUAUGGACUCUCCACCUUGAAGAUUUUCGUCAAGGAUUAAAUGGUAACUGACUACUUCCCUGUACAGUCCUUACCAAAUUUUGUUCUCACUUCCUCUGGUCCUGAGUAACUUCACUGCAUUUGAAGUUAUUCUAAAUUUGUCCCAGUGUAACAGACCAAAAUUUAACUUUAGGAGCCUCUUGGAGAAGCAUUGCCUUCUGUUGGUGUGCUUAUAGAUUUUUGGCUGAGAAUCUGGAAUAGUGAGCAGUCCAAUUCAGGUGUCAACCCUUUCCCUACACUGCCUUGUAGCGAAAUCUCCUUGUCUUGGUAUUUAUAUACAUGAAAAGUCAGUCUGAACUGAUAUAAAAUCAGAUCUCUUCAGUUGCUCCUUUGGUAACAUUUUAUGGCCAGCUUAAAUAGACAAAGUGCAAAAAAUGAAGUCCCAUUUCCCACGUUGAGAUUGCUGUUUCUGGCAGUAAGUGUUUAUAAGAUCAAAUUACUUUUUGUGGGGUAAAAAUAAUACUUUUUAAAGUCAAGCUAUAUAUGUAAAUUAUUUUGGGAUAGAUCUUCAGUGAGGUUUCUAAAAUGAAGCAAGUAUUUAUGAUAUGAAGGCCUUCAGGAGUUAGAGUACUGUAUAUGGGCAAACUGCAAAAAAAGGUCAAUCUUUUUGUAUAUUUAAAUCAGUCUCCAAGUUACUUUGAGUCUUGUAUCAUUUCUGCUUUCUCUAUGUCUUUUUCUUUAAACUUCCAAAGUCAGGUAGCACCCUGCAAGCUGCGUUGAAUCCAACACCUAAGAUAGCCUUAUAAACCCUGCGGACAUUAAACUACUGGAAAACAGAUUGGGUUGGUAAAAAUAAGUGUGCAUGUUCUCACAGAACCUGAGAAAAUCACACCUUUACUUUGUUAAAAAAAAUCUGUUUGUGCCACUCCAGUAAUCACUUCAUAACUGGUGGGAGAGCAGAACAUAUGUCUCAGAAGUGGUGGAAUAUAAAAGCCUCUACCUCUAAUCCUAUUUUCUUUAAGAGAAAAAAAAAAGCAACAAAAAAACCCAACCUUUUCAGUAUGUCAUCUGUAAAAUCAAUGCCAAGGGUUUUCUGCUUAAAAAUGCUAAGACAUUUUGUGGCAAUUUCUGUGAAACUCCUUGGUUAAUCCUUUUGCAGUUUUAUUAGCAAGCGAAGUCCUGGAGAAGUAAAGCAGUGUCAAGAAGGGUGUUGAGAAUGGCUUUUGUAGCCCUGCUACAGGUAAUGAAUCCUACGUGCCUGCUGUUCCUGAGGCAUUUCUUGGUUAGUUGUUUAUGAGGGCUGAAAUCAGCUCUUUUCAAAUUUACCUUUCGGACUCUGCGCCGGUGUGGUAAAUAUUAGGUAACAGGGUAUUUACAGAGGGGUCAUUUCCAUAGAGAAUGGAUGGGACCUGAACAUUGACCUGCUAGAGAGGGGAGGGAAAUAGGCUUCUUUUCCUUCAGGGGGUUGGUGGUUAAAUGGUCAGUGGCAUGAAUGCUGUAAUGUGUGGCAAGGCUGCUGCUUGAAAUAAAUGUUGAGAAGCAAUCUCAGUUUAAUGCUACAAGCAUAAAGUGGAGAUGAUGGCAGUUUAAUAUGUAGUCUACAGGACAAAUGUAUCCCACUUUAACACCACUGAAAUCAGCGUGGUGACAGGUUGUGCCUGCGAGGCUUUGGUCCAGCAGUGUCCAAAUUAAAUGUGAAAAUGCAAACUAACUACUGACAUUAGACACAGGGGUUUCAGGAAGGUUGUUUUUGUCAGGAUUCAGUUGCUCUUUCAUCUUCCUUACAAACUCCAUCCCUCUCUUCCUUUCUCCCAUCUUGCUAAUCAGGGAGGUCAAAGGAUUGGAGAUCCUACCAAGCCUGUUAGGCCCUAGAGUUGGCUUCAGGUGUGACUCGGAUAGAUGGAGUGACUUGCACCAUAAACCAUACCCCCUACUUUUUAUCCUCUGUCCAGCUCCAGACCUGGCUUUGCUGGUACAGGCCAACAAACUUACCUUUAAAAUAAUG
Molecule: long non-coding RNA, 5899 nt
Organism: Pseudopipra pipra
Lineage: Eukaryota; Metazoa; Chordata; Aves; Passeriformes; Pipridae
Exons: 4
Source: RefSeq, a predicted model, not a curated record